GGUUCUAUAGUGUAGCGGUUAUCACACAGGAUUCUGACUAGUAAUGUUCCUGUAACCCCGGUUCGAUUCCGGGUAGGACCU
This is a transfer RNA of Fomitiporia mediterranea MF3/22, 81 nucleotides long. It matches the Rfam family "tRNA". From Rfam's summary of the family: Transfer RNA (tRNA) molecules are approximately 80 nucleotides in length. Their secondary structure includes four short double-helical elements and three loops (D, anti-codon, and T loops). Further hydrogen bonds mediate the characteristic L-shaped molecular structure. tRNAs have two regions of fundamental functional importance: the anti-codon, which is responsible for specific mRNA codon recognition, and the 3' end, to which the tRNAs corresponding amino acid is attached (by aminoacyl-tRNA synthetases). tRNAs cope with the degeneracy of the genetic code in two manners: having more than one tRNA (with a specific anti-codon) for a particular amino acid; and 'wobble' base-pairing, i.e. permitting non-standard base-pairing at the 3rd anti-codon position. Lineage: Eukaryota; Fungi; Basidiomycota; Agaricomycetes; Hymenochaetales; Hymenochaetaceae. The record is from Rfam.